GCAAGUCGAACGGUAACAGCAGAGCUUGCUCUGGCUGACGAGUGGCGGACGGGUGCGUAACGCGUGGGAAUCUACCUUGUAGUGGGGGAUAGCCCGGAGAAAUCCGGAUUAACACCGCAUAAUCUCUACGGAGGAAAAGGGGCCUCUUCUUGAAAGCUCCUGCUAUUAGAUGAGCCCGCGUUGGAUUAGCUUGUUGGUAGGGUAAUGGCCUACCAAGGCGACGAUCCAUAGCUGGUUUGAGAGGAUGAUCAGCCACACUGGGACUGAGACACGGCCCAGACUCCUACGGGAGGCAGCAGUGGGGAAUAUUGGACAAUGGGCGAAAGCCUGAUCCAGCAAUACCGCGUGUGUGAAGAAGGCCUGAGGGUUGUAAAGCACUUUCAAUAGAGACGAAAAGCUUAAGGCUAAUACCCUUGAGUCUUGACUUAACCUAUAGAAGAAGCACCGGCUAACUCCGUGCCAGCAGCCGCAGUAAGACGGAGGGUGCAAGCGUUAAUCGGAAUUACUGGGCGUAAAGCGCUCGUAGGCGGCUUGUUAAGUCGGAUGUGAAAGCCCCGGGCUCAACCUGGGAACUGCAUUCGAUACUGGCAGGCUAGAGUAUAGUAGAGGCAAGUGGAAUUCCGGGUGUAGCGGUGAAAUGCGUAGA
This 646-nucleotide ribosomal RNA is filed under the name uncultured bacterium. RNAcentral describes it as "bacterial SSU rRNA". It matches the Rfam family "Bacterial small subunit ribosomal RNA", at positions 57 to 694 of the family's 1533-position model. The record is from RNAcentral.